Long non-coding RNA from Homo sapiens (human), 161 nucleotides. RefSeq lists it as uncharacterized. The record is from RefSeq and is a predicted model, not a curated record. NCBI's taxonomy places the organism in Eukaryota, Metazoa, Chordata, Mammalia, Primates, Hominidae. The transcript is spliced from 3 exons.
UAAUGGUCUUGGAAGCACAGCCGGGGUGACGGAAGCAGUGACAGCAUCUUCAUGCAGCCAGAAGCCGCUGACUCUACGAAGAAUGGAAGACGGCCUUGAGUGCUUUCCAGGUUUGAACUUCACUAAGGAAAAAGAAUAGCCUGUACAAAUGUCAAAGCCCG